UCCGAGUUGACCCCGGCGGUCUCCCAUGAGUCCCCACCAUAACGUGCUGGCAACAUGGAACGAGGGUUGCGCUCGUUGCGGGACUUAACCCAACAUCUCACGACACGAGCUGACGACAGCCAUGCAGCAUCUGUGGUGCACCCUCGAAGGUCACACGUUUCCGUGCGCUUGCAGCACCAUGUCAAGCCCAGGUAAGGUUCUUCGCGUUGCAUCGAAUUAAAGAACAUGCUCCGCUGCUUGUGCGGGCCCCCGUGCCUUGCGGCCGUACUCCCCAGGCGGAACACUUAACGCGUUGGCUGCGGCACAGAGGGAUUCGACUCCCCCCACACCUAGCACCCAUCGUUUACGGCGUGGACUAC
This 359-nucleotide unclassified non-coding RNA is filed under the name uncultured Rubrobacterales bacterium. Its description in RNAcentral is "contains 16S-23S intergenic spacer region". Lineage: Bacteria; Bacillati; Actinomycetota; Rubrobacteria; Rubrobacterales. The record is from RNAcentral.